This 75-nucleotide transfer RNA is filed under the name Myoviridae sp. ctkmZ20. RNAcentral's name for it is "tRNA-Arg". It matches the Rfam family "tRNA". From Rfam's summary of the family: Transfer RNA (tRNA) molecules are approximately 80 nucleotides in length. Their secondary structure includes four short double-helical elements and three loops (D, anti-codon, and T loops). The record is from RNAcentral. RNAcentral also lists the same sequence under 1 other name. Lineage: Duplodnaviria; Heunggongvirae; Uroviricota; Caudoviricetes.
GACUGAGUAGCUCAGUUGGAUAGAGCAUCGUUUUCCUAAAACGAGGGUCGAAGGGUCCGAGUCCCUCCUCAGUCA